CAAGAGAUGAUGAAUCAUUUGGGAGGUUGGUAAAUGAUGAACACAGACGGCCAAACUGUAAAAUUAAAAGGAUUGAUGUGGAAGGAAAGCCACACCUCUGUUUGUUUGCUGUGGAAGACAUUCAAGAAGGAGAAGAAAUAAAUUAUGAUUAUGGAGUUAAUGACUGUCCAUGGAGAACACAAAUGAACGGCAUUAAGGAGAGUGAUUUGGGAAUAGAGACCUCUUAUUCCUCCAUGAUUAUGGAUCAGAUGGAGAAUGUUGCAUGUCAAAACAACUCUCAACAGAUGGCCGCCUUUGAGGACUGUGAUUUGGCUUUAGAGACCUCUCAUCCCUCCAUGACCGUUGAUCAGUUAGAGAUUGCUGCUGUUCCAAACAAUACACAACAGAUGACCACCAUUAAUGACAGUGCCUCGGCUUCAGAGACCUCUCAUCCUUCCAUGAGUAUGGAUCAGACUGAGAUCUCUACUUGUCCAAACAACACUUAACAGAUGACCACCAUUAAUGACAGUGCGUCGGCUUCAGAGACGUCUCAUCCUUCCAUGAGUAUGGAUCAGACUGAGAUCUCUACUUGUCCAAACAACACUGAACAG
Molecule: long non-coding RNA, 590 nt
Organism: Corythoichthys intestinalis (scribbled pipefish)
Lineage: Eukaryota; Metazoa; Chordata; Actinopteri; Syngnathiformes; Syngnathidae
Exons: 5
Source: RefSeq, a predicted model, not a curated record